UUUUAGCUAGCACCAAACAUAGAACUUCAUUCAUCAUCCUGCAAGUUAGGGCUGCCAAGGGAAGCCGGCUCUUCCUGAGCCGAAAGUGGCAAUACGCCAGGAUUGGCAGGAAUCAAAUGAAUCAUUUCCUGCUUUUAGUUUUAGAUAAAUAAUCAAAAAAGAUUGUCUAGAUUGUGAUCCAAAAGCCAUUUUUCAUAGCUCUGAGGAUCCAGAAUCCUUCACUUCAUGUGGAAGCCCGCUUUUCUCAUUAUUUUAUUGCACAGUGUUGAAGAGAAGGCAGACAAACCCACCAAGGCCCAAGCAGAGUUUUUAAUGCAGCGAAGACUUACGACCUCAGCGUGCUUCGUCAGUAAGCUCCUGGAAGGACACAGAUGCUGUAUGUUGGUUCCACUGAAACUUCCAGAGCCCCUCUCCAGGAUCCUGACUGGCAGAGCCUCUUACAACGUGGUCCACUUUCCCUGUUUCUACCUGCAGACGAACAUUGCCGCGGAUGGAGGCUGGAACUCUGCCGUAAUGGAGGAGCCAGAAGGCUGCGGCAAAUGAAGGCAUUUGCAUGGUCUCAAAAUGUCAGCAUGGUAUGGAAGUUCUGUCCAAGAGCAAAGCGAUUGAAGCAAGCGAUUUCCUGAAACACGUGACCUCGGAGAGCCCAGUGCUGUAAGUUAAGAAACGACCAUCCAUGUUACAGAAACACCAUUCCUGGUCGUUCUGACGUCAGUCGUACGAUGAAGUGCCAGUUGCGGUGUGGAAAGAUGAUGCCUUGUUCAAAUUAGGAUAACCUCCAGCUAGGUCUAGCAUCCAUGCAAUUCAUGUAAUCCAAGAUUUUACUCACCUGAGGGAACAGACUAUUUUUGCUGGCCCCAGUUCACUUUCUUUCACACGUUUUACAGUGUGUGGUAUUUUAAUCAAUGUCAACCUGCAACUUUCAGAGUCGAGGCUUUGGAGAUGCCCGAUGUCUUUUUUUUUAUUUUUUUCGUUCCUUUUCCCUUGGCAUCAUUUAACUCUACACGAAGCUAUAUGCCCCUUUCUUCACUGUAUGCCACACAGUAAAUUAAGCAUUAAUUAAAGAGUCUCUUGAAGAUCGAGACCUGCACUUCAUGCAUGCCCGUCCCAAGAAACAAGGAAGGAAAUUCUGACACUUAAAACAAAAAGGCACCAUGCAGGGAUAUGAAAUUGACUAUGAAAAGAACGGGGAGAAUGAUAUAGUUCAGAGUGCUGUGACAGAACAGAGGAAAUACAUGGCUGCCAGGGUUCAGUGGAAAGGGAGGGGGUAUGGAGGGCACCUGCAACAACAGAACUUAUCUGGGAGACCUUGGAGUUCCAGGCUUGCUUCGAGGCUUCUUGUCAACCAAGUCAUUGAUGGUUUUGAUCUUAGAUCACCCCCAGACCCUACUUCUCAAGUUCACCCUUUCUCAGAAGUGAACUUGAUCCAGAGCUCUGCCCGUCCCCAAGUCCUCUGGGACUAAGAUUCGAUUAGCAGGAAUGCUUCUCCACCCUGUAUGUAUCCUUCCAUGUGGGGAGCACCCUUGAGAGUAACACUUCUGGCCUCCCAUGUUGCCUCACUCGGUGGUUCCUGAGGGCUCUUCCGAUGACUGAAUUAUGAAGGAGAAACUAGACACUCCUAACCCUGUUCCACUGUCUCCCCUCUCUCUCUCGGAAACCAGAUUCCCACAGAGAGACCUCGUUCUUUCUGCUACGAGCAGGACAGUUUUUGUAGAGAUUUGCCUCCUUUGUGGUGACCCAGCACAGCUUGUGGUGGCCUGCGAUGGCUGUGUAAUUCUGGGGUUUAUUGUGAGGAACUCCAAAUAUCUCCUGGACCUAGUCUUUACCAGUAUAAAGUUAAUAUUUUAUUUCCCACUUUCUAACAUCUCUAUUUUAUGUACAAUUGCUUCAGAACUAGAGUAGGAAAGAGACAUCUUUCCUGGAGGGAAGAGCGAGAGGACAUCAUCCCCACUCCCCUCUUGUCUUUGACCUAUUCUGGUCUCAGCAUAUUCAUACCUCAUAGCGUCCUUUGUCCACACACCACUCUGCAAAAUAGGAUGAUGUGCAUGCUUUUGAAAGAAACAUCCAAUCGGCCUGCGAUCAUGAAACUUUUGUUCAUUUUCAUUCAUUUAUGUAUUUUAAAAACGAAGACUUAAUGGGAAGACUUGUUCUUAUAAAUAUUUAAAUUUGG
Neofelis nebulosa (Clouded leopard) is the source of this 2170-nucleotide long non-coding RNA. RefSeq lists it as uncharacterized. The transcript is spliced from 4 exons. The record is from RefSeq and is a predicted model, not a curated record. Lineage: Eukaryota; Metazoa; Chordata; Mammalia; Carnivora; Felidae.